This 443-nucleotide ribosomal RNA is filed under the name Brachyteles arachnoides (woolly spider monkey). Its description in RNAcentral is "partial large subunit ribosomal RNA". It matches the Rfam family "Bacterial large subunit ribosomal RNA", at positions 1861 to 2529 of the family's 2925-position model. The record is from RNAcentral. Lineage: Eukaryota; Metazoa; Chordata; Mammalia; Primates; Atelidae.
GCCCAGUGACAUGUGUUCAACGGCCGCGGUACCCUGACCGUGCAAAGGUAGCAUAAUCACUUGUUCUCUAAAUAAGGACUUGUAUGAAUGGCCACACGAGGGUUUAACUGUCUCUUACUUCUAAUCAGUGAAAUUGACCUAUCCGUGAAGAGGCGGAUAUAACCAAAUAAGACGAGAAGACCCUAUGGAGCUUCAAUUUAAUAAUGCAAACUAAUAACUUAAAAACCAACAGGCACCAAUCCACCGUGUAUGUAUUAUAAACUUUGGUUGGGGUGACCUCGGAGCAUAACAUAACCUCCGAAAGACAUAUACCAAGACUUAACCAGUCUAAGUAAACUUAUAACCAUUGACCCAAUAACUUGAUCAACGGACUAAGUUACCCUAGGGAUAACAGCGCAAUCCUACUCUAGAGUCCAUAUCGACAGUAGGGUUUACGACCUCGA